RNAcentral lists this non-coding RNA (30 nucleotides) under Rattus norvegicus (Norway rat). The record is from RNAcentral. Lineage: Eukaryota; Metazoa; Chordata; Mammalia; Rodentia; Muridae.
UCUAUUGCUGUGGUAAAAUCCACGAUGGAA